AUACGUAGGGAGCGAGCGUUGUCCGGAAUUACUGGGUGUAAAGGGUGCGUAGGCGGGAUGGCAAGUCAGAUGUGAAAUGCCGGGCUCAACCCCGGAGCUGCAUUUGAAACUGUCGUUCUUGAGUGAGGUAGAGGUAAGCGGAAUUCCUAGUGUAGCGGGGAAAUGCGUAGAUAUUAGGAGGAACAUCGGUGGCGAAGGCGGCUUACUGGGCCUGUACUGACGCUGAGGCACGAAAGCGUGGGGAGCAAACAGGAUUAGAUACCCUGGUAGUCCACGCUGUAAACGAUGAUGACUAGGUGUGGGGGGACUGAACCCUUCCGUGCCGCAGUAAACACAAUAAGUCAUCCACCUGGGGAGUACGGCCGCAAGGUUGAAACUCAAAUGAAUUGACGGGG
Molecule: ribosomal RNA, 395 nt
Filed under: uncultured bacterium
Lineage: Bacteria
Description: partial 16S ribosomal RNA
Rfam family: Bacterial small subunit ribosomal RNA
Source: RNAcentral